AAACCAGUAACAGGGCUGGAGAAUAGAUGACACUCCUCAUAUCUCUCCCUACCUGGGCCUGGUGUCUUUGGGACACGUGGUCUUACCUUAGUCCUGAGUCCUGAGUGCUCUAAGCGGGAACCAGGUCCCCAGACCUGCGAUGGGAAGGAAGGAUUGUAUGCAGCCUUUCUCCCUGCUUAGCAUGUAGGGAACAGCCUCUGUCUCUUCCAUCAGGGUCUUGUCAAGUUACCAUAGCAACCAGCAACUCCAGGUACCACAAAAGACAAUGCCUCCAAGAGCUGAGGUGUGAGAGAGAGCACAGGGUUCUGGCCUGGUCAGAGGACCCAGAAUUAAGCCCCAGAUGCUAAGAGAGUAAAGGAAGGAGGGAUGGAACUGGAUACAUGAGUGGGUUAAGUAGCUGCAGCGGCCUUGCGAGUCUGAGAAAGGCCACUGGCAGAGCUAGAACAGAUCCCUUCUGUUUUCCUCACCACUUACCCUUCUCCAGCCUGCCCCACCUCUAUUCCAAAACUCUCCCCUUGAAUUCCGACCCUUUGAAAGAAGAAAGCAAAAUAUACCUUUAGACAACAGUGUUACCCUGAGCCGCAAGGACAGGUGGAUGGGAAUCUCUGAAAGAAAAAAAAAAAGGAGGGUCUUCUGGUUUUGAUUUUUAAAAAGAGUAUCCUAGUAAGAAUAAAAACAAAAAGAUUUAAAAAAAGUUUUUAAAAGAAAACCUAUGCUAUUUAAAUUGGAGCCCAGUUGUAACUUGGUAAAGGUAAGCCUCGGUACCUUUGUUAUAAUUAAUUGUAUACCUGUGUAUGUAAAUAUAAGGCAUUCCUAUUUUGCAGUUCAGAACAAAAAAAACUAUUUGUAAUAUAGAAUAAAGUUUAUUAAAAAAUAAUAAAAAUGCAGUUUG
RNAcentral lists this long non-coding RNA (892 nucleotides) under Rattus norvegicus (Norway rat). RNAcentral's name for it is "long non-coding RNA NONRATT021311". Lineage: Eukaryota; Metazoa; Chordata; Mammalia; Rodentia; Muridae. The record is from RNAcentral.